Molecule: ribosomal RNA, 471 nt
Filed under: Aeromonas hydrophila
Lineage: Bacteria; Pseudomonadati; Pseudomonadota; Gammaproteobacteria; Aeromonadales; Aeromonadaceae
Description: bacterial SSU rRNA
Rfam family: Bacterial small subunit ribosomal RNA
Source: RNAcentral
UCAUGGCUCAGAUUGAACGCUGGCGGCAGGCCUAACACAUGCAAGUCGAGCGGCAGCGGGAAAGUAGCUUGCUACUUUUGCCGGCGAGCGGCGGACGGGUGAGUAAUGCCUGGGAAAUUGCCCAGUCGAGGGGGAUAACAGUUGGAAACGACUGCUAAUACCGCAUACGCCCUACGGGGGAAAGCAGGGGACCUUCGGGCCUUGCGCGAUUGGAUAUGCCCAGGUGGGAUUAGCUAGUUGGUGAGGUAAUGGCUCACCAAGGCGACGAUCCCUAGCUGGUCUGAGAGGAUGAUCAGCCACACUGGAACUGAGACACGGUCCAGACUCCUACGGGAGGCAGCAGUGGGGAAUAUUGCACAAUGGGGGAAACCCUGAUGCAGCCAUGCCGCGUGUGUGAAGAAGGCCUUCGGGUUGUAAAGCACUUUCAGCGAGGAGGAAAGGUUGAUGCCUAAUACGUAUCAACUGUGACGU